UUUAAUAUAUUAUUUUUAGGUGCUCAUAGGAGCUUAAAAGGGAAAGUGUGAAACACUGCAGCCCCCGCUACUGUAUAUGGAGACAAGGCUUGAAUACCACUGUGAUAAACGGGAAGGUAAGCUAAGGAUGAACCAUAAGCCAGGAGACCUACCUAGAAAUUAAUAAUCAC
RNAcentral lists this non-coding RNA (170 nucleotides) under Clostridium sp. The record is from RNAcentral. RNAcentral also lists the same sequence under 1 other name. Lineage: Bacteria; Bacillati; Bacillota; Clostridia; Eubacteriales; Clostridiaceae.